RNAcentral lists this long non-coding RNA (2637 nucleotides) under Nicotiana tabacum (common tobacco). RNAcentral's name for it is "long non-coding RNA (NTAB_LNC005204)". The record is from RNAcentral. Lineage: Eukaryota; Viridiplantae; Streptophyta; Magnoliopsida; Solanales; Solanaceae.
GAUUUGGCUUGAUGGCUGAAGACUGCUGGUGUAUUUGUUCUGGUUUCCUCUUACGCGUUCGUGAGAGUGGCCUCGCGUUCGCAAAGGGCAUCUGUGUCACGACCCAAAAUCUCACCAUAGGCAUCGUGAUGGCACUUAGUCUCUAAGACUAAGUAAGCCGAUUAUAAUUAUAAUUCAAGCCAAUUUUUUUUAAAAAAAAUAGAAACUAACAGCGAAAAUAGUUACAAACAACCUCCCAAGACUGGUAAUACUGAGUCACGAACUCUAACUGAAUACAUGAAAUGAUCUCAAAGAUCGAAUACUCAAUACUGUUUGAUUAAUAAUUAACAGUACAAUAAAUUGGAAAGACUUCAAGGGACUGCGACGACCAAACAGCUCUACCUUGAAUCCUUGCAAUCACACUCUAACUUUCUCUGAGUCCGAUAGCUCCAAUACCUGGCUCUGCAAAAAAAUGUGCAGAAGUGUAGUAUGAGUACACCACGGUCAGUACCCAGUAAGUAUCAAGACUAACAUCUGUGUAUUAGUGACGAGGUACAGUCAAGACACUCACUAGUCUAAUAACUUGUGCAAUAUAGUAUACAAAAAUAAUAGAAAACAAAUAACAAUGAUGGCAACAAUAAUCAACCGGUGAUAUACACAACACGGACAACUUACGUGCCAAUAUCAUCAUCAUUUACCCACGGCACCUCGUGCCCCCCAUUUCAUAUCACAACUGCACGGACAGUUCACAUGUCAAUAUCAUCAUUAUUUACUCACGGCGCCUCGUGCCCACAUUUCAUUUCAUAAUCUACCCGGCAAUAGCUAUAGGCUCCCAAUUUCAACAUAGAUUAGACUAUUAUCAAUUUACCAACAACAAGACAAAUUGCACAAGAUAUAAAAAUAAACACAAGGAAAAGCACAACAUCACAUGAAAAUUACCAACGCAAUAACCCCACAUCAUCACAUAAAAAUUACCAACACAAUAACUCCACAUCAUCACGUAUCAUCCCUGACAAUGGCCACUCUUAUCUCUCCUAUAGCCACCCUUAUCACUCUUAUAAUAACCUCCCUUAUCCCUCCGCCCUGACAAUAUCAAUAGCCACCAUUAUCGCUCCUACAGCCAUCCUUAUCGCUCCGUAUAAUAGCCACCAUUCUCACUCCGCCCAAACAAUAUCCCAACACACAUAAUCACGGUGAAAUGUCACCCUUAUACCCACAUAAUAUCAACAGUGAAAUGUCACCCUUAUAUCCUCAUAAUAACAACUCAAAUCACACAACAAUUUACACGAGAUAUUAUCACGACAACACAACACAAUCAAUUUCUAUCACAAUUUGCCCAACAACCACAAUCAAUUCCAAUGAUAUAGUAAAAUCAAUAAAUUUCUCAAAAAUAGCCCAAAGCUCCACACAACGUAUAUAAAACCUCAAAAAAAAUCAACAAAGAUAGAAAAUACUCAGUAUAGGGCAACACAUUCAUUAAUCCAAAUUCUUGAUAAUUGUAUUAACGCCUCAAUUUAAACUUAGUUCAUUAAUUAUUUGCAGAUGGAAAAAUUCAUAAUAUAAUUAUUUUCAGGAAAUAUCAAAUCAACAAACUCAUGGAAUUUACAUAAAUAUUCAAGUAAUACUCACAUCAAAUUGUCAUAUAAAAAUAAAUUCAACAAACAAGGAUUGAGGCAUGACAAAUAGAUGAUUUAAUAAAUACCAACAAUUAUCCAAUUUACUACACAAUAAUGCCUAAGACUUUAACCCAAUAAAAUUUGCACAUAUAAGCCCGAGUACAUACUCGUCACCUCGUGUACACGAUUUUUUAUAUUUCAUAAAUGGCACAUAAGACUCGAUGCCUAUGGGGUAAUUCUCCCACUCAAGGUUAGGCAAGAUACUUACCUCAAAGCCAUGUAAAUUCUUACUCCGUUAUACCCUUGCCUCGUGAAUUGGUCUCCAAACGUCCCGAAUCUUUUGUGUAGCAAAGUUUUCUCCAGAUUUUAAUUAAGAAAGAACCUCUUUAUACAGUAACAACGUUACCCAGAGAUGAAUUAGAAACCAAAUCUGACAACAACACCUCAAUUGCGUUUCAAAUCUGGACCGAUACCGCAGACCAUAGCACUCAAACUAUACCCACCCUAACGGCAACUUCGGUUGGAUUUCAAAUCUAGAGAUCUAGCCCGAAAUUUACCCUUAAUAUUCAACCCAUUUCUGAUUUCUAAUUCACUGAUAAUUUUGACAAAGAAAAUGAUAAAGGACGGUGGUGGGGGAGCUUUAAAAAUAGAGAAAGGGUGGUGUUGCAGUCAAGGAAAGUUCACGGGAGAAGAUUUUGUUAAUUUGUGGUCCAAAUAUUGGUUGAAUAGAGGUGAUGGAAUUAUGUAGUUUCCAUGUUAAAAGUCUGUGAAAAGAACUAAAAUUUUGGUGGAGUUUUGCAUAGAUGGAGAAAAUUUUGCCUAAUGGAGAAGAUGAGCAAUUGUUUUUCCUUUUCCCCUCUCUGUUUCUCCAAAUGCUACUUGAUUGUGUAUUAUCAGUGAUUUUUGUGAGUCACGUGAGAUGUCGAGGUGAGGUUUCCAGAGUGAUGCCAAGAAAAUUGAAUAUGGAAAUCCUAUUCUAGAAGAGCGUACGUGAAGAGUAAUUCCUUACAGAAAGUGACAAAAUUCAUGAGCUUUUUUUUUA